Molecule: ribosomal RNA, 275 nt
Filed under: uncultured prokaryote
Description: partial 16S ribosomal RNA
Rfam family: Bacterial small subunit ribosomal RNA
Source: RNAcentral
UACGUAGGGGCGAGCGUUAUCCGGAAUUAUUGGGCGUAAAGGGUUCGCAGGCGGCCUUGUAAGUCAGAUGUGAAAGACAGCGGCUUAACCGUUGUAAGCAUUUGAAACUGCAGGGCUUGAGUACAGGAGAGGAAAGCGGAAUUCCUAGUGUAGCGGUGAAAUGCGUAGAUAUUAGGAGGAACACCAGUGGCGAAGGCGGCUUUCUGGACUGAUACUGACGCUGAGGAACGAAAGCGUGGGGAGCAAACAGGAUUAGAUACCCGCGUAGUCCCUGA